This 172-nucleotide ribosomal RNA is filed under the name Methanomassiliicoccales archaeon. RNAcentral's name for it is "partial 23S ribosomal RNA". It matches the Rfam family "Archaeal large subunit ribosomal RNA", at positions 2811 to 2987 of the family's 2987-position model. The record is from RNAcentral. Lineage: Archaea; Methanobacteriati; Thermoplasmatota; Thermoplasmata; Methanomassiliicoccales.
GAGCAGCCACGCAGCAGUGGAUAAGAGCUGAAAGCAUCUAAGCUCGAAGCCACCUUGAAAAAGAGGCAUCGCAGCGCUCGUAAAUGACGAGUUUGAUAGGACCGGGGUGUAAGCAUCGAGGUUUUCCGAGGUGUUCAGCCUGUCGGUUACUAAAGUUGUACUAGCCAUUACU